Molecule: ribosomal RNA, 497 nt
Filed under: uncultured bacterium
Lineage: Bacteria
Description: partial 16S ribosomal RNA
Rfam family: Bacterial small subunit ribosomal RNA
Source: RNAcentral
GACGAACGCUGGCGGCGUGCCUAAUACAUGCAAGUUGAGCGCUGAAGGUUGGUACUUGUACCAACUGGAUGAGCAGCGAACGGGUGAGUAACGCGUGGGGAAUCUGCCUUUGAGCGGGGGACAACAUUUGGAAACGAAUGCUAAUACCGCAUAAAAACUUUAAACACAAGUUUUAAGUUUGAAAGAUGCAAUUACAUCACUCAAAGAUGACCCCGCGUUGUAUUAGCUAGUUGGUGAGGUAAAGGCUCACCAAGGCGAUGAUACAUAGCCGACCUGAGAGGGUGAUCGGCCACAUUGGGACUGAGACACGGCCCAAACUCCUACGGGAGGCAGCAGUAGGGAAUCUUCGGCAAUGGACGAAAGUCUGACCGAGCAACGCCGCGUGAGUGAAGAAGGUUUUCGGAUCGUAAAACUCUGUUGGUAGAGAAGAACGUUGGUGAGAGUGGAAAGCUCAUCAAGUGACGGUAACUACCCAGAAAGGGACGGCUAACUACGUG